This 253-nucleotide ribosomal RNA is filed under the name uncultured bacterium. RNAcentral's name for it is "partial 16S ribosomal RNA". It matches the Rfam family "Bacterial small subunit ribosomal RNA", at positions 524 to 776 of the family's 1533-position model. The record is from RNAcentral.
GACGUAGGGCGCGAGCGUUGUCCGGAUUUAUUGGGCGUAAAGAGCUCGUAGGCGGCUUGUUGCGUCGACUGUGAAAACCCGCGGCUUAACUGCGGGCUUGCAGUUGAUACGGGCAGGCUAGAGUUCGGUAGGGGAGAUCGGAAUUCCUGGUGUAGCGGUGAAAUGCGCAGAUAUCAGGAGGAACACCGGUGGCGAAGGCGGAUCUCUGGGCCAUUACUGACGCUGAGGAGCGAAAGCGUGGGGAGCGAACAGG